This 319-nucleotide ribosomal RNA is filed under the name Foraminifera environmental sample. Its description in RNAcentral is "partial small subunit ribosomal RNA". Lineage: Eukaryota; Foraminifera. The record is from RNAcentral.
UUUUUGAACUUGUUUAAGAGUAAAACCAAAAUAAGUUAAAAACUUAUCAGGUUAAUACUCUAUUCUUAGUUCAUUUUGAAACGCAAUUAAGCAGACAGAUCACUCCACGAACUAAGAACGGCCAUGCACCACCUAUCACAUAAUCAUGAAAGGACUAUCAUAUUUAUAUAUAAAUCUUUAAAAGAUUUAUAUUAUCGCCUGUCAAUCCUCAGUGUGUCCGGACCCGGUAAGAUUUCCCGCGUUGGGUCAAAUUAAGCCACAUGCUCCACGCGUUCUUGUGGUGCCCUUCCGUCAAUUCCUUCAAGUUUCACACUUGCGU